Molecule: non-coding RNA, 291 nt
Organism: Papio anubis (olive baboon)
Lineage: Eukaryota; Metazoa; Chordata; Mammalia; Primates; Cercopithecidae
Source: Rfam
GGACAUCAGAGCUGUCUGUCACCUCCUUAAUAACAAAGGUGAUUUCACUGGACUGGGUAGACGGUUCCCCAUUUUUUGUGUUCAUCCAGCCGAAAGGUAAUUGUUCUCUUUUAUAUUAAUAGUUCUUGCCAAGUCCAGAGCUAUUCCAAAGCAGUUCCUAAAUGGCUGCACUUUCCUGUCAGAAUGUCCAAAUAAGCCCUCAAAGUCUAAUUGUAAGAGGACAUUGGACAGCCAAGUGAAUUCAAUGAUAUUAAAAUAAAGUUUUGAGAAGAAUGCGCUCUUCCAGUUCAU